UCGGGAAUUUUGGGCAAUGGGCGAAAGCCUGACCCAGCAACGCCGCGUGAAGGAUGAAGUAUUUCGGUAUGUAAACUUCGAAAGAAUAGGAAGAAUAAAUGACGGUACUAUUUAUAAGGUCCGGCUAACUACGUGCCAGCAGCCGCGGUAAUACGUAGGGACCAAGCGUUGUUCGGAUUUACUGGGCGUAAAGGGCGCGUAGGCGGCAUGACAAGUCACUUGUGAAAUCUCUGGGCUUAACUCAGAACGGCCAAGUGAUACUGUCGCGCUAGAGUGCAGAAGGGGCAAUCGGAAUUCUUGGUGUAGCGGUGAAAUGCGUAGAUAUCAAGAGGAACACCUGAGGUGAAGACGGGUUGCUGGGCUGACACUGACGCUGAGGCGCGAAAGCCAGGGGAGCAAACGGGAUUAGAUACCCAGGUAGUCCCUGAGCGGGCUGGCAAGGCGCAU
RNAcentral lists this ribosomal RNA (447 nucleotides) under uncultured bacterium. Its description in RNAcentral is "bacterial SSU rRNA". It matches the Rfam family "Bacterial small subunit ribosomal RNA", at positions 355 to 825 of the family's 1533-position model. The record is from RNAcentral.